AAUGACAAAUGUAAUUAAUUACGUAAUGUAUUGCGAUCUAUCAAAACAUUUCAUAGUAAACAACUUUUUUCUGCCUGUAUAAAUAAAGACUUUGCGACAAUUACUACAACUGAAUUACUACUAAACAGCGAAGAUGAACACUUUAUUUAUUAUUGUAUUCUUUGGUAUUGUAGGUCAGUAUAACUUUUAUAUUUUCUUUAUUUAUGCCAUACAUAUUUAAUUUGCAUUGCUUAUAUAUAUAUAUAGUACAUAUACAUGAUAUACUUCCUAGUUUCUGUGCAUGAUUUAAAAAUAUAUAGGUAUUUUAAGAGGGUCUGAGUUGAAAGUAUAUUUCUUUAUUUUUCAUUUUUUUAGACUAUUUGUAUUUAAUCUUUAUUCGUUUUGCUCAUUUUUCUUUUUUCUUUAUAUGUUUUAUUCAAUUUUUUUUCCAUUCUUUAUGUUUCAGUACCCUAUAUGUUUAUAUUUCAUUUUUUUAUUAUUAUUCUCUUUUCUCCUUUCAAUCAUUAGCUUGUGGUAUUGGAUCAUUAUUCGUUAUUCUGUAAACCCCAAUCAUCUACUACAGGGGUGGAUCCAGGGGGGUCUGGUGGUUGGAACUCCCCCUUUUCUUUGAAUACAUUUGAAUGGGGACAUAAAGCUGGAACCCCUUUGUCCUGGGUUGGGAACCCCCCUUUUUUCAAUGGCUGGAUCCGCCACUGGCACCAAUCUCAGUUUCGAGUUUCAAAACUGUUCCGGUGACCGUGUAAAUAAUUAUUUCAAUAAGUCGGCAAGGUAUACAAACAGAACAAACAUUGUUCUAAUGAGCUUUUAAUUGAAAUAUGAGACACUUUUAACAAUACAACAUUUAUAACAAUACAACACAUAACAUACAUGCAAUACAUUUCACAGCACAAAAAUGAAGCACUAAAAGCAGAAAAUAAGCAUAGGCUAGGUAUUUUUCGAAUUUCGGGAUGUCGGGAUUAAAUUUAUUUUUAAGGCCGGGAUUUCGGGAUCGAGACCCCUCCUAUCCCCUCUCACCUAUGGUUGCCAAAAUCCACGUCAUUUGAACUUUGAUAGAUAGACAAGAAUAUCAGAUCUUUUUUAUUAUUUUAUAUAAAGGGGGGAAGUACAGAACAUAAAACACUAAAUACAUAAACAAAAAAAGAAAGAAUAGAAAAUAAUUUAGUGAUAAAAUCUAAAGGAUAGAGAAAUGACGACCCCCCCCCCCCCCCCGCCAUUUUUUUCCUUUCCAUGUGGAUACUUAGGUUAUGUGUGUCCAAUGUUACUCUUAUGUCACUUAUUUGUUCAUAGUUAACAGCUUUUUACCAUACGAUAUAUUCUGGAGUCGUUAGCUAUUUCACUGAGUUGUGUACCAUGUAAGAGAGACCGUGACUGUAAAUAGCUUACAUGUUUUAGGUAUUUCACUGAGUUGUGUACCAUGUAAGAGAGACCGUGACUGUAAAUGUGGUGGCUCUUAUCGAUCUUACAGCAAUUCAACUCCUCACUGUCAUAGAUUUGACAAUAAAAGAUGUUGUUACUGUGAAAUUCCAAUUGAAUGUACACCUCGUCCCUAUAACACCGGCUGUCCAUCAGGUUGUGAUUGCGUUCCUGAGCAUUCUCAUCACCACUGCAGAUGUCCACAGUAGAGGUAAAUACCAUCAAAGCACAGGUCAAAGUUGUGUAUGUCUUGUUUUGCUUUGUUUUUUCUCUUUUUACACUCCGAUUGUGUGCGGUUUGAAUGUUUAGGCCUUAUUUCUUUUUUUUUAUUCGAACAUCACUGAGGCGUUAUUUGUAGACGAAAUGUGUGUCUGGCGUACAAAACGGUAAGCCUGGUAUGUUUGAUGAUUUUAAAUAAGAAGAUGUGGUAUUAGUGUAAAUGAGACAGCUCUCCAUUCAAGUCAAAAUAUGUAAAAAGUACACAACUAUAGGUAAACGUCCGGCCAUCAACAUGGAGUCUUGGUUCUCAUGUCAAUUUUAUCAUUGAUUCAAGGACAAUAAUUGUAAAUAUAAAUCAAUGUGUAGACAUCUAAAAUGUUCAGGUAUUUCACAUCCCAUCUUUUAUGGUAAGCAAAGCACAAAAAUGUCAUCAUUCACUUCGAAAGCUUACAAAACCUUUAAACAGCAGACUUAUUCAGAAAUAAUAUAGUCGCGGUACUGUUUUCGGGUAAUUAAACAUUGCAUUUUUUGGAAUUGAUAUUGAUUAUUUUACCUAUUUAAUUACUCUCUAUUCGGAAACCCCACUCACACCCAUAAUGAUACGACUCACUUGGAAAGAAUACUGAUGAUAAAUAAAAACAUUCGUCACAACUCGGCCAAUUCCGUACCUCAUCUAAGGAUAGAAGGAGAGUAGCGGAAUCACCCGAGGUUGCCGAUUGAUGAGUGUAUCAUUCGUCACAAAUCGGUCGAUCCGUACCUCAUCUAAGGAUAGAAGGAGAGUAGCGGAGUCACCCGAGGUUUGCCGAUUGAUGAGUGUAUCAUUCGUCACAACUCGGUCGAUUCCGUACCUCAUCUAAGGAUAGAAGGAGAGUAGCGGAGUCGUCCGAGGUUUGCCGAUUGGAUGAAACACGACUAUUAUAGGGUAUCUUAUUGUACUAUCGUCACUUGUCCAUCCAUGUCUACAGUUCUCAACUGUGUUCUUCAACAAUGGGUAAAACUAUACCGUGAAAAGCAGUAUAAUAGGUCUGGGCCUGGCAAUAUAUAUCAAAUUAGAAGAUGUGGUAUGAAGGCCAAUGAAACAACUCUCCUCCAGAGACCAAACGGCAUAGGAGUUAACAAUUAUAGGUCCCCGUAUACGGCCUUCGACAAAGAACACUGAUGAACGCACAACAGGCUUACGUUCAGGAAAAGUACAUAAGCUAUGAUAGUGUUGUACAUUAGACAACAAACAACACAAAAGGAAGUUUGUUAAAAGAUUAAUGCAAAAGUUUUAUGACUAUAUCUAUUAUUUUGUUCUUCUUAUUUCUUAAUUCUUUUGUAGGAGAUGAUUACAUGGAAAAGAACUGCAAAAACCAACAAGGCGUUUUUUACUUCUGCAAUAAAGUAUUAAAUAUAAAACUAUUUUGUUUAUUCUUGACUGGCAUUAGAAAGUAUGAGGCUUCUAAAAGAACAUGAACUGACCUGUUAAAUUUUAACGAAAAUAGAAGCGACAUUACUAAUAGACCCUC
Molecule: long non-coding RNA, 3140 nt
Filed under: Mytilus galloprovincialis (Mediterranean mussel)
Lineage: Eukaryota; Metazoa; Mollusca; Bivalvia; Mytilida; Mytilidae
Source: RNAcentral